GAUGAACGCUGGCGGCGUGCCUAAUACAUGCAAGUCGAGCGAACGGACGAGAAGCUUGCUUUUCUGAUGUUAGCGGCGGACGGGUGAGUAACACGUGGAUAACCUACCUAUAAGACUGGGAUAACUUCGGGAAACCGGAGCUAAUACCGGAUAAUAUUUUGAACCGCAUGGUUCAAUAGUGAAAGACGGUCUUGCUGUCACUUAUAGAUGGAUCCGCGCUGCAUUAGCUAGUUGGUAAGGUAACGGCUUACCAAGGCAACGAUGCAUAGCCGACCUGAGAGGAUGAUCGGCCACACUGGAACUGAGACACGGUCCAGACUCCUACGGGAGGCAGCAGUAGGGAAUCUUCCGCAAUGGGCGAAAGCCUGACGGAGCAACGCCGCGUGAGUGAUGAAGGUCUUCGGAUCGUAAAACUCUGUUAUUAGGGAAGAACAUAUGUGUAAGUAACUGUGCACAUCUUGACGGUACCUAAUCAGAAAGCCACGGCUAACUACGUG
Molecule: ribosomal RNA, 497 nt
Filed under: uncultured bacterium
Lineage: Bacteria
Description: partial 16S ribosomal RNA
Rfam family: Bacterial small subunit ribosomal RNA
Source: RNAcentral